This 64-nucleotide microRNA precursor is filed under the name Bombyx mori (domestic silkworm). RNAcentral's name for it is "mir-2774 microRNA precursor family". It matches the Rfam family "mir-2774 microRNA precursor family". The record is from Rfam by way of RNAcentral. Lineage: Eukaryota; Metazoa; Arthropoda; Insecta; Lepidoptera; Bombycidae.
ACAACAUUCGGAGCGUCGGUCUACCGAGCAAAUAUCACUCGCUGGAAAAUCUUCCUUUCGUCGU